GUGAGAAAUAGAUUUAAGGGACUGUAUCUGACAGAUAGAGUGCCUGAUGAACUAUGGACUGAGGUUCGUGACAUUGUACAGGAGACAGGGAUCAAGACCAUCCCCACGGAAAAGAAAUGCAAAGAAGCAAAAUGGCUGUCUGGGGAGGACUUACAAAUAGCUGUGAAAAGAAGAGAAGUGAAAAGCAAAGAUGAAAAGAAAAGAUAUAAGCAUCUGAAUGCAGAGUUCCAAAGAAUAGCAGGGAGAGAUAAGAAAGCCUUCGUCAGCGAUCAGUGCAAAGAAAUAGAGGGAAACAACAGAAUGGGAAAGACUAAGGAUCUCUUCAAGAAAACUGGAGAUACCAAGGGAAUAUUUCAUGCAAAGAUGGGCUCGAUAAAGGACAGAAAUGGUAUGGACCUAACAGAAGCAGAAGAUAUUACAAAGAGGUGGCAAGAAUACACAGAAGAACUGUACAAAAAAGAUCUUCAUGACCCAGAUAAUCACGACGGUGUGAUCACUAACCUAGAGCCAGACAUCCUGGAAUGUGAAGUCAAGUGGGCCUUAGAAAGCAUCACUAUGAACAAAGCUAGUGGAGGUGAUGGAAUUCCAGUUGAGCUAUUUCAAAUCCUGAAAGAUGAUGCUGUGAAAGUGCUGCACUCAAUAUGCCAGCAAAUUUGGAAAACUCAGCAGUGGCCACAGGACUGGAAAAGGUCAGUUUUCAUUCCAAUCCCAAAGAAAGGCAAUGCCAAAGAAUGUUCAAACUACUGCACAAUUACACUCAUCUCACAUGCUAGUAAAGUAUUGCUCAAAAUUCUCCAAGCCAAGCGUGAACUUCCAGAUGUUCAAGCUGGUUUUAGAAAAGGCAGAGGAACUAGAGAUAAAUCGCCAACAUCCGCUGGAUCAUGGAAAAAGCAAGAGAGUUCCAGAAAAGCAUCUAUUUCUGCUUUAUUGACUAUGCCAAAGCCUUUGACUGUGUGGAUCACAAUAAACUGUGGAAAAUUCUUCCGGAGAUUAGAAUACCAGACCACCUGACCUGCCUCUUGAGAAACCCAUAUGCGUCAGGAAGCAAUAGU
Molecule: long non-coding RNA, 1052 nt
Filed under: Bos indicus x Bos taurus (hybrid cattle)
Lineage: Eukaryota; Metazoa; Chordata; Mammalia; Artiodactyla; Bovidae
Description: lncRNA (ENSBIXG00005011506.1)
Source: RNAcentral